RNAcentral lists this ribosomal RNA (468 nucleotides) under uncultured bacterium. RNAcentral describes it as "partial 16S ribosomal RNA". It matches the Rfam family "Bacterial small subunit ribosomal RNA", at positions 28 to 507 of the family's 1533-position model. The record is from RNAcentral.
GACGAACGCUGGCGGCGUGCUUAACACAUGCAAGUCGAACGGAAAGGCCCUGCUUUUGUGGGGUGCUCGAGUGGCGAACGGGUGAGUAACACGUGAGUAACCUGCCCUUGACUUUGGGAUAACUUCAGGAAACUGGGGCUAAUACCGGAUAGGAGCUCCUGCUGCAUGGUGGGGGUUGGAAAGUUUCGGCGGUUGUGGAUGGACUCGCGGCUUAUCAGCUUGUUGGUGGGGUAGUGGCUUACCAAGGCUUUGACGGGUAGCCGGCCUGAGAGGGUGACCGGCCACAUUGGGACUGAGAGACGGCCCAGACUCCUACGGGAGGCAGCAGUGGGGAAUAUUGCACAAUGGGCGGAAGCCUGAUGCAGCAACGCCGCGUGCGGGAUGACGGCCUUCGGGUUGUAAACCGCUUUCGCAUGUGACGAAGCGUGAGUGACGGUAAUGGGUAAAGAAGCACCGGCUAACUACGUG